RNAcentral lists this long non-coding RNA (487 nucleotides) under Pan troglodytes (chimpanzee). RNAcentral's name for it is "long non-coding RNA NONPTRT005914". Lineage: Eukaryota; Metazoa; Chordata; Mammalia; Primates; Hominidae. The record is from RNAcentral.
UAAAAAAAAUCUGUAUUCUAUUUUUUUCUCUCUGUUUAUCGCUCUCUUUCUGCCUCUGUUAAUCUUUGUUUCUGUGUAGUUGCAUCCUGUUUCUGUCUGAAAACCCUUGUCUUUCUGAAUCCAUCUUUCAGUCUCUCACGUUCUGUCUCUCCCCUCCUCCUUCACCUUCCCUCCAUCCCUCUCCCUUGCGCACUUGCCGGGUACCAGCUGAGUGCAUCCUUUUCCCAAACCUGCUCUGCUUCCAAGGGGCCCUUUUCUGUCUCCUCCACCUGUCCCCAUGUUUUGGGGACUGCCUGGAAAUCUGGGACACCCUCCUGAGGAGGGAGCUGGUGCCCAACGGCACCUCUUAGGAUGAACCCCGCCAGCUGCGUUCCUGGCCUCUGCAGAAUGGCAUACAGAAGGCAUUUUAAGCAAGCGAGCUGAGCUCGCCGCAGGACUCCGACUACCAGGCACCAAAUCACUUGGAGCCUCUGACAUCACGUGUCCA